This 425-nucleotide long non-coding RNA is filed under the name Brassica napus (rape). RNAcentral's name for it is "long non-coding RNA (BNAP_LNC014464)". Lineage: Eukaryota; Viridiplantae; Streptophyta; Magnoliopsida; Brassicales; Brassicaceae. The record is from RNAcentral.
AAUUAAUUUGUAUAUAACCAAUUGAAAUGUUUGGUGAGCCACUAUUCUACUUUAUAUCGAUGUGUACGGUUGAAAUGUUUUGACCGCAUGUCAAUUUGUGUUGUUAUUAAUAAAGUGGAUCAAAUAUGUUACCAUUAAAAAUUAAGUCAAUGCAAUGUUUACGUAAAUAGUAAAAAACAAAAAGAGAUAAUUAUGCUUAAUAUGAAGCUUAAACUAAGUUAAUACAACAAAAUAAAUUGAAUAUGAACAAAAUGAAAUUAUAUCCCAACUAUUCACACGGUAUUUGAUUUUGAAUUAUAUAAUAGAUUUACAUCUUAUAUUGCUACCAUAUUCAUCUGUCCUUCUAUCCGAGACGAAUAAAAAUUGUGUUCAGACAAUUACUGAGCACUAAAGCCCUCCGAAAAAAUAACCAUGCUACUCGCAAU